GCUUAUUUUGUGUUUGUGCGUGAAGCUAACGAUGUAACCAGGUGGUUGAAUCGAUGCUGAUCUAUGAAUUAAACUGAUGCCGGAGGAUAUGUUCGUUAGAUUCACGCACAAACUCGUAAUACGUCU
This 126-nucleotide microRNA precursor is filed under the name Lactuca sativa (garden lettuce). RNAcentral's name for it is "MIR403 microRNA precursor family". It matches the Rfam family "MIR403 microRNA precursor family". Lineage: Eukaryota; Viridiplantae; Streptophyta; Magnoliopsida; Asterales; Asteraceae. The record is from Rfam by way of RNAcentral.